RNAcentral lists this non-coding RNA (160 nucleotides) under Alphaproteobacteria bacterium. Its description in RNAcentral is "6S RNA". It matches the Rfam family "6S / SsrS RNA". Rfam says of the family: E. coli 6S RNA was the first non coding RNA to be sequenced, but its function was unknown until recently. It consists of 184 nucleotides that fold into an extended hairpin structure with a large single-stranded internal bulge. The 6S RNA specifically associates with RNA polymerase holoenzyme containing the sigma70 specificity factor. The record is from RNAcentral. Lineage: Bacteria; Pseudomonadati; Pseudomonadota; Alphaproteobacteria.
CGGGUACUGCCCCGCACGUGAGAAGACCAGAUACCCAGGGGCCUUAAUUGACCCUCUUGGGGGCUGUCCCUGGCCGGAGCCGUGGCUCCGGUCAUAUGGUUCCCACCUGCAACUGCAGGCCCGUGAGGAUCUUUCCUUCCACGGCAUGGGCGGUCCCGCC